UUACCUUAGGGAUCGGUGUA
Molecule: non-coding RNA, 20 nt
Filed under: Arabidopsis thaliana (thale cress)
Lineage: Eukaryota; Viridiplantae; Streptophyta; Magnoliopsida; Brassicales; Brassicaceae
Source: RNAcentral